GCGAGUAUAGUUUAACGGUAAAAUAUAACCUUGCCAAGGUUAGGUUACGGGUUCGAUUCCCGUUACUCGCU
This 71-nucleotide transfer RNA is filed under the name Bulboplastis apyrenoidosa. Its description in RNAcentral is "tRNA-Gly". It matches the Rfam family "tRNA". From Rfam's summary of the family: Transfer RNA (tRNA) molecules are approximately 80 nucleotides in length. The record is from RNAcentral. Lineage: Eukaryota; Rhodophyta; Rhodellophyceae; Dixoniellales; Dixoniellaceae.